GACACUUAAAUUUCUUUUUAAUGUAGCAGAUAAAUGGUAGAAAUGUAAAAAAAAAGUCAAAAAUUUGCGAAAAAAAAUAAAUAACAUUCUCGGCCAUAGAGAGAUGCCACAUGACCUUGUCUAUGUCUAGCUUUAUAUUUUAUAUAGAUUCAAAUUUCCAUUUUGUGCCACUAACGUAUCCAUUCUUCCAUUUUCUUAAUACAUCAUACCAAUUCAACUUGGAGACGCAAUUCUUUCACUAUAUGGAGAACAAACAGAGAAGAAAAAAUGAAGAUAAUAGUAUGGAUUCCUCUUAGUCACGCAGAUGCCAAAAAAACCCAAAGGUCUUGACGUCUUGUAAUAGUUUAGAGGAAAUGAAAUAUUUCUACGUUAUUUCCUGGCUGGAGCACUUGGAAGAAAGGAGAAUCAAAGAACUGAUAAAAAGGUGGUUGAUUGUGACAAGAGCGGAAAUGCGCGGUGCUUAUCUAGAAGGCCUCCUCCCACUUUAUUUUCGGAACGGAGGUUGAGUCUUAGAAUGUGGUGAGUGUUUUCAGGUUGUUGAUUGUGACAUGUUCGAAAAUACGGGGUGCCUAUCUUGAAGGCCUCCUCCCACUUCAUUCCAGGAUGGAGGAUGAGUCUUAGAAUGUGGUAGUAAUCUGGAUCUUUAGUCGCUUUUGUACUAGUCUAGACCAGGUCGUGAGGAGUCAGAAUGAGUCUGUAAUUAUUUAACUGU
Lycium barbarum (goji berry) is the source of this 712-nucleotide long non-coding RNA. RefSeq lists it as uncharacterized. The transcript has 4 exons. NCBI's taxonomy places the organism in Eukaryota, Viridiplantae, Streptophyta, Magnoliopsida, Solanales, Solanaceae. The record is from RefSeq and is a predicted model, not a curated record.